AUGGAGCUUGAAGGGUGUGUAGAUUGGAGAGGGAAUGCUGCGGAUCGAAGGAAGCAUGGAGGCAUCAAGGCUACAAUCUUCCUCUACGUUUUGGUCGUGCUGCGAAGUUGCCCCAGCAGCACAAACUUCAGUCUUGUGGCCUAUUUCCACAGGACACUACAUCUGGAUAUUGUGACCUCCUCAGCUGUGAUCACCUAUCUGGUCGGUGCAGUGUCCUUCUUUGCUGCCCUGAUGAACUUUAUCUCUGGCAUAUAUAUCCGGCGAACCACCGCUAUAUUUGUAUUCAGUCCCCUUGCAGUCCUGGGCUAUAUGUUGCUAGCAUUGCAGGCAUACUUGCCUUCACAACAUCCUCUGGAUUGUGAGAUAAACAAAGAACCAAACAACUGUGAGUCAGCUAAAGGUUGGAGCUUAACACUGCUCUACUUGAGCUUAUUAAUGUUUGCCAUCGGAGAAGGCUGCAUGCGCGCUUGCAUACCAUUGCUUGGUGGAGAUCAGUUCAGCAAUGAUGAUCCAAAAGAAACACAUCUCAAGAGUACGUUCUUGAGCUGGAUCAAGUUUGCAAACUCUGUUGGAGCACUCAUGGGAUUGGUAUUCUUAGUCUGGAUCGAGAACAAUUUGGGCUGGGCCCUUGGCUUUAUGAUAUCUGCACUUAUUGUACUUGUAGGGCUGUUUGUGGCAGCCAGUGGACUGCCUUUCUAUAGAACACAGAAGCCUAAUGGAAGUCCUCUAAAGGGAAUAUUGCAGGUUCUUGUCACUUCAUCAAAGAAGAGGCAGGUUGCUACCAUAGAUGUUAUCGAGCUGCAGGAGAUAGGAGCAGCGGAUAGUGUUGAUGGGGAAGGCAGAUCUGACAGCAAGAGCACUGGCACCACUCAGAUCGAAGAGUUAACAAAGGCCAUCACCCGAAUGCUUCCAAUCUUCAUCAGCUGCUUGCUCAUCUACCUGCCCUUCACACUGCUAAUGACACUAACGAUACAAGUCGGAAGCACCAUGGACAAAGGGAUAGGCGCGAUCCAGAUAUCCUCCGCCUCUCUCAUUGCAAUCCCAACAGCAUUUCACAUGCUUAUGCAACCAUGCUACAGGCGGAUAUUGAUGCCACUGCUACAAAGAUUUACAGGCCACACACACGGAAUCACCCCACUGCAGAGUAUCGGUGCUGGCUCGGUGUGCGGGGUAGCAGCAGCAUGCCUUGCGGCGUUAGUGGAAACAAGAAGGCUGACAGUCGCAGAACAGCAUGGGCUAACAUCGACAGGAGCAGGUGUCCCGAUGUCCGUGUUCUGGUUGGUGCUGCAAUUCUUCCUGCUAAGCAUCAUGGAUGCAACAUCCUUCAGCGGACUGAUUGAGUUCAUAAAGAGCGAGUCAUCUCCGGAAAUGAAGCUGAUAGCACCGGCAGCGCAGUCCAUUAUUGCAGGAAUAGCAGCCUGGUUAGCAUGUGCCAUCAUACAGCUGGCGAACAACGCGUCACGGCGCGGCGAUGGUGGAAGAGGGUGGCUAGAUGGAGCAGACUUCAACAGGACACGCCUUGAUCGUUUCUUCUUUUUACUGGCAGCCUUCGAGCUGGUGGCACUCAUCAACUAUGCUUUCUGGGCUAGGAGAUAUGCCAAGAAGCAACGGAGCAGCGGUGUUGGAUUAGUCGGUCAUAGCUCUGAAAACUAA
RNAcentral lists this ribosomal RNA (1653 nucleotides) under Triticum aestivum (bread wheat). RNAcentral's name for it is "partial small subunit ribosomal RNA". Lineage: Eukaryota; Viridiplantae; Streptophyta; Magnoliopsida; Poales; Poaceae. The record is from RNAcentral.